Molecule: ribosomal RNA, 460 nt
Filed under: uncultured bacterium
Lineage: Bacteria
Description: partial 16S ribosomal RNA
Rfam family: Bacterial small subunit ribosomal RNA
Source: RNAcentral
CCUACGGGAGGCAGCAGUGAGGAAUAUUGGUCAAUGGACGAGAGUCUGAACCAGCCAAGUAGCGUGAAGGAUGACUGCCCUAUGGGUUGUAAACUUCUUUUAUAAAGGAAUAAAACGAGGCACGUGUGCCUUUUUGCAUGUACUUUAUGAAUAAGGAUCGGCUAACUCCGUGCAAGCAGCCGCGGUAAUACGGAGGAUCCGAGCGUUAUCCGGAUUUAUUGGGUUUAAAGGGAGCGUAAAUGGGUUGUUAAGUCAGUUGUGAAAGUUUGCGGCUCAACCGUAAAAUUGCAAUUGAUACUGGCAGUCCUGAGUACAGUUGAGGUAGGCGGAAUUCGUGGUGUAGCGGUGAAAUGCUUAGAUAUCACGAAGAACCCCGAUUGCGAAGGCAGCUUACUAAACUGUGACUGACAUUGAUGCUCGAAAGUGUGGGUAUCAAACAGGAUUAGAUACCCGGGUAGUC